CGGCUAACUCCGUGCCAGCAGCCGCGGUAAUACGGAGGGUCCGAGCGUUAUCCGGAAUCAUUGGGUUUAAAGGGUCCGUAGGCGGGCCUGUAAGUCAGGGGUGAAAGUUUGUGGCUCAACCAUAAAAUUGCCUUUGAUACUGCAGGUCUUGAGUCAUGGUGGGGUUGCCGGAACAUGUGGUGUAGCGGUGAAAUGCAUAGAUAUCACAUAGAACACCGAUCGCGAAGGCAGGUGACCAACCAUGUACUGACGCUGAUGGACGAAAGCGUGGGUAGCGAACGGGAUUAGAUACCCCGGUAGUCCACGCCGUAAACGAUGGAUACUAGCUGUGGGGACUUCGGUCUCCGUGGCCAAGCGAAAGUGAUAAGUAUCCCACCUGGGGAGUACGUUCGCAAGAAUGAAACUCAAAGGAAUUGACGGGGGCCCGCACAAGCGGUGGAGCAUGUGGUUUAAUUCGAUGAUACGCGAGGAACCUUACCAGGGCUUAAAUGCAGGCUGCAUGGGGUAGAGAUACCCCUUUCUUCGGACCGCCUGCAAGGUGCUGCAUGGUUGUCGUCAGCUCGUGCCGUGAGGUGUCAGGUUAAGUCCUAUAACGAGCGCAACCCCUACCGUUAGUUGCCAGCAUGUCAAGAUGGGGACUCUAACGGGACUGCCGGUGCAAACCGUGAGGAAGGUGGGGACGACGUCAAAUCAUCACGGCCCUUACGUCCUGGGCUACACACGUGCUACAAUGGCCGGUACAGAGGGAAGCCACCCCGCAAGGGGGCGCGGAUCUACAAAACCGGUCACAGUUCGGAUCGGGGUCUGCAACUCGACCCCGUGAAGCUGGAAUCGCUAGUAAUCGGAUAUCAGCCAUGAUCCGGUGAAUACGUUCCCGGGCCUUGUACACACCGCCCGUCAAGCCAUGGAAGCCGGGGAGUGCCUGAAGUCCGUCACCGAGGAGGAGC
Molecule: ribosomal RNA, 947 nt
Filed under: Flagellimonas marinaquae
Lineage: Bacteria; Pseudomonadati; Bacteroidota; Flavobacteriia; Flavobacteriales; Flavobacteriaceae
Description: bacterial SSU rRNA
Rfam family: Bacterial small subunit ribosomal RNA
Source: RNAcentral